GGCUUCCUACGGGACGCAGCAGUGGGGAAUAUUGCACAAUGGGGGAAACCCUGAUGCAGCGACGCCGCGUGAGCGAUGAAGUAUUUCGGUAUGUAAAGCUCUAUCAGCAGGGAAGAAAAUGACGGUACCUGACUAAGAAGCCCCGGCUAACUACGUGCCAGCAGCCGCGGUAAUACGUAGGGGGCGAGCGUUAUCCGGAUUUACUGGGUGUAAAGGGAGCGUAGACGGUCCUGCAAGCCAGAUGUGAAAGCCCGGGGCUCAACCCCGGGACUGCAUUUGGAACUGUAAGGCUAGAGUAUCGGAGG
Molecule: ribosomal RNA, 305 nt
Filed under: uncultured bacterium
Lineage: Bacteria
Description: bacterial SSU rRNA
Rfam family: Bacterial small subunit ribosomal RNA
Source: RNAcentral